RNAcentral lists this ribosomal RNA (253 nucleotides) under uncultured bacterium. RNAcentral's name for it is "partial 16S ribosomal RNA". It matches the Rfam family "Bacterial small subunit ribosomal RNA", at positions 524 to 776 of the family's 1533-position model. The record is from RNAcentral.
UACAGAGGUCCCAAGCGUUGUUCGGAUUCAUUGGGCGUAAAGAGCGUGUAGGCGGCCAGGUAGGUCGGUUGUGAAAACUGGAGGCUCAACCUUCAGAGGUCGACCGAAACCAUCUGGCUAGAGUCCGGGAGAGGAGAGUGGAAUUCCUGGUGUAGCGGUGAAAUGCGCAGAUAUCAGGAAGAACACCCGUGGCGAAAGCGGCUCUCUGGAACGGUACUGACGCUGAGACGCGAAAGCGUGGGGAGCGAACAGG